Molecule: ribosomal RNA, 662 nt
Filed under: Xiphinema pachtaicum
Lineage: Eukaryota; Metazoa; Nematoda; Enoplea; Dorylaimida; Longidoridae
Description: SSU rRNA
Rfam family: Eukaryotic small subunit ribosomal RNA
Source: RNAcentral
GGGUCUAAACAACCCGAAUUUGGGCGGAAUCCUGGAAUAACUUUGCCGAUCCGUACGGUCUGGGUACCGACGACGUAUCUUUCAAGUGGUCUGCCUUAUCCAACUUUCGAUGGGUACGCUAUACGCCCUACCCAUGGUAGUAACGGGUAACGGAGAAUAAGGGUUCGACUCCGGAGAGGGAGUGAGAAACGGCUACCACAUCCAAGGAAGGCAGCAGGCGCGCAAUUACCCACUUCCAGAACGGAGAGGUAGUGACGAAAAAUAACGAGACAGUCCUCUUCGAGGUCUGUCAUCGGAAUGGGUACAAUUUAAAUCCUUUAACGAGGAUCAAUUGGAGGGCAAGUCUGGUGCCAGCAGCCGCGGUAAUUCCAGCUCCAAUAGCGUAUAUUAAAGUUGUUGCGGUUAAAACGCUCGUAGUUGGCUUUGCGGCCACAGAGAACGGUCCCCCGAAAGGGUGGUCACUGUUACUCCAAGCCUAUAUAUCUAGUUCGCUUUACGGUGCUCUUAACCGAGUGCCUAAAGUGACUGGAACGUUUACUUUGAAAAAAUUAGAGUGCUUAAAGCAGGCGAAAUCGUCUGAAUAAGGUGCAUGGAAUAAUGGAAUAGGAUCUCGGUUCUAUUUUAUUGGUUUUCGGAGCCAGAGAUAAGAUUAAGAGGAACAG